ACAGCCAGGAUGUUGGCUUAGAAGCAGCCAUCAUUUAAAGAAAGCGUAAUAGCUCACUGGUCGAGUCGGCCUGCGCGGAAGAUGUAACGGGGCUAAACCAUGCACCGAAGCUGCGGCAGCGACGCUGAUGCGUUGUUGGGUAGGGGAGCGUUCUGUAAGCCUGUGAAGGUGUGCUGUGAGGCAUGCUGGAGGUAUCAGAAGUGCGAAUGCUGACAUAAGUAACGAUAAAGCGGGUGAAAAGCCCGCUCGCCGGAAGACCAAGGGUUCCUGUCCAACGUUAAUCGGGGCAGGGUGAGUCGACCCCUAAGGCGAGGCCGAAAGGCGUAGUCGAUGGGAAACAGGUUAAUAUUCCUGUACUUGGUGUUACUGCGAAGGGGGGACGGAGAAGGCUAUGUUGGCCGGGCGACGGUUGUCCCGGUUUAAGCGUGUAGGCUGGUUUUCCAGGCAAAUCCGGAAAACUAAGGCUGAGGCGUGAUGACGAGGCACUACGGUGCUGAAGCAACAAAUGCCCUGCUUCCAGGAAAAGCCUCUAAGCAUCAGGUAACAUCAAAUCGUACCCCAAACCGACACAGGUGGUCAGGUAGAGAAUACCAAGGCGCUUGAGAGAACUCGGGUGAAGGAACUAGGCAAAAUGGUGCCGUAACUUCGGGAGAAGGCACGCUGAUAUGUAGGUGAAGUCCCUCGCGGAUGGAGCUGAAAUCAGUCGAAGAUACCAGCUGGCUGCAACUGUUUAUUAAAAACACAGCACUGUGCAAACACGAAAGUGGACGUAUACGGUGUGACGCCUGCCCGGUGCCGGAAGGUUAAUUGAUGGGGUCAGCGCAAGCGAAGCUCUUGAUCGAAGCCCCGGUAAACGGCGGCCGUAACUAUAACGGUCCUAAGGUAGCGAAAUUCCUUGUCGGGUAAGUUCCGACCUGCACGAAUGGCGUAAUGAUGGCCAGGCUGUCUCCACCCGAGACUCAGUGAAAUUGAACUCGCUGUGAAGAUGCAGUGUACCCGCGGCAAGACGGAAAGACCCCGUGAACCUUUACUAUAGCUUGACACUGAACAUUGAGCCUUGAUGUGUAGGAUAGGUGGGAGGCUUUGAAGUGUGGACGCCAGUCUGCAUGGAGCCGACCUUGAAAUACCACCCUUUAAUGUUUGAUGUUCUAACGUUGACCCGUAAUCCGGGUUGCGGACAGUGUCUGGUGGGUAGUUUGACUGGGGCGGUCUCCUCCUAAAGAGUAACGGAGGAGCACGAAGGUUGGCUAAUCCUGGUCGGACAUCAGGAGGUUAGUGCAAUGGCAUAAGCCAGCUUGACUGCGAGCGUGACGGCGCGAGCAGGUGCGAAAGCAGGUCAUAGUGAUCCGGUGGUUCUGAAUGGAAGGGCCAUCGCUCAACGGAUAAAAGGUACUCCGGGGAUAACAGGCUGAUACCGCCCAAGAGUUCAUAUCGACGGCGGUGUUUGGCACCUCGAUGUCGGCUCAUCACAUCCUGGGGCUGAAGUAGGUCCCAAGGGUAUGGCUGUUCGCCAUUUAAAGUGGUACGCGAGCUGGGUUUAGAACGUCGUGAGACAGUUCGGUCCCUAUCUGCCGUGGGCGCUGGAGAACUGAGGGGGGCUGCUCCUAGUACGAGAGGACCGGAGUGGACGCAUCACUGGUGUUCGGGUUGUCAUGCCAAUGGCACUGCCCGGUAGCUAAAUGCGGAAGAGAUAAGUGCUGAAAGCAUCUAAGCACGAAACUUGCCCCGAGAUGAGUUCUCCCUGACUCCUUGAGAGUCCUGAAGGAACGUUGAAG
RNAcentral lists this ribosomal RNA (1775 nucleotides) under Escherichia coli. RNAcentral describes it as "partial 23S ribosomal RNA". It matches the Rfam family "Bacterial large subunit ribosomal RNA", at positions 1089 to 2843 of the family's 2925-position model. Lineage: Bacteria; Pseudomonadati; Pseudomonadota; Gammaproteobacteria; Enterobacterales; Enterobacteriaceae. The record is from RNAcentral.